AGAGUUUGAUCAUGGCUCAGGAUGAACGCUAGCGGGAGGCCUAACACAUGCAAGCCGAGCGGUAGAGAUUCUUCGGAAUCUUGAGAGCGGCGUACGGGUGCGGAACACGUGUGCAACCUACCUUUAUCUGGAGGAUAGCCUUUCGAAAGGAAGAUUAAUACUCCAUAAUAUAUUGAUUGGCAUCAAUUGUUAUUGAAAGCUCCGGCGGAUAGAGAUGGGCACGCGCAAGAUUAGUUAGUUGGUGAGGUAACGGCUCACCAAGACGAUGAUCUUUAGGGGCCUGAGAGGGUGAUCCCCCACACUGGUACUGAGACACGGACCAGACUCCUACGGGAGGCAGCAGUAAGGAAUAUUGCUCAAUGGCCGAAAGGCUGAAGCAGCAACGCCGCGUGAAGGAUGAAUGGCCUUUGGCCUGUAAACUUCUGUAAAAAGGGAAAAACAGUCAGGUAUAUCCUGAUUUGAUUGUACCUUUGAAGUAAGCCCCGGCUAACUACGUG
This 497-nucleotide ribosomal RNA is filed under the name uncultured bacterium. RNAcentral's name for it is "bacterial SSU rRNA". It matches the Rfam family "Bacterial small subunit ribosomal RNA", at positions 8 to 507 of the family's 1533-position model. The record is from RNAcentral.